This 240-nucleotide ribosomal RNA is filed under the name uncultured Lactobacillus sp. Its description in RNAcentral is "partial 16S ribosomal RNA". It matches the Rfam family "Bacterial small subunit ribosomal RNA", at positions 122 to 355 of the family's 1533-position model. Lineage: Bacteria; Bacillati; Bacillota; Bacilli; Lactobacillales; Lactobacillaceae. The record is from RNAcentral.
UAACCUGCCCAAGAGAUCGGGAUAACACCUGGAAACAGAUGCUAAUACCGGAUAACAACAGAUGAUGCCUAUCAACUGUUUAAAAGAUGGUUCUGCUAUCACUCUUGGAUGGACCUGCGGUGCAUUAGCUAGUUGGUAGGGUAACGGCCUACCAAGGCGAUGAUGCAUAGCCGAGUUGAGAGACUGAUCGGCCACAUUGGGACUGAGACACGGUCCAAACUCCUACGGGAGGCAGCAGUC